UACAGAGGGUGCAAGCGUUGUUCGGAAUUAUUGGGCGUAAAGCGCGUGUAGGCGGCUUUGCAAGUCGGGUGUGAAAGCCCUCAGCUCAACUGAGGAAGUGCGCCCGAAACUGCAGAGCUUGAGUGCCGGAGAGGGUGGCGGAAUUCCCCAAGUAGAGGUGAAAUUCGUAGAUAUGGGGAGGAACACCGGUGGCGAAGGCGGCCAUC
RNAcentral lists this ribosomal RNA (206 nucleotides) under uncultured bacterium. RNAcentral's name for it is "partial 16S ribosomal RNA". It matches the Rfam family "Bacterial small subunit ribosomal RNA", at positions 524 to 729 of the family's 1533-position model. The record is from RNAcentral.